AGGACGAACGCUGGCGGCGUGCUUAACACAUGCAAGUCGAACGGUAAGGCCCUUCGGGGUACACGAGUGGCGAACGGGUGAGUAACACGUGGGUGAUCUGCCCUGCACUUCGGGAUAAGCUUGGGAAACUGGGUCUAAUACCGGAUAUGACUACGAAUCGCAUGGUUUGUGGUGGAAAGCUUUUGCGGUGUGGGAUGGGCCCGCGGCCUAUCAGCUUGUUGGUGGGGUGAUGGCCUACCAAGGCGACGACGGGUAGCCGGCCUGAGAGGGUGUCCGGCCACACUGGGACUGAGAUACGGCCCAGACUCCUACGGGAGGCAGCAGUGGGGAAUAUUGCACAAUGGGCGCAAGCCUGAUGCAGCGACGCCGCGUGAGGGAUGACGGCCUUCGGGUUGUAACCUCUUUCAGUAUCGACGAAGCGCAGUGACGGUAGGUACAGAAGAAGGACCGGCCAACUACGUGCCAGCAGCCGCGGUAA
This 478-nucleotide ribosomal RNA is filed under the name uncultured bacterium. Its description in RNAcentral is "SSU rRNA". It matches the Rfam family "Bacterial small subunit ribosomal RNA", at positions 26 to 523 of the family's 1533-position model. The record is from RNAcentral.